This 465-nucleotide ribosomal RNA is filed under the name Vreelandella stevensii. Its description in RNAcentral is "partial 16S ribosomal RNA". It matches the Rfam family "Bacterial small subunit ribosomal RNA", at positions 338 to 795 of the family's 1533-position model. The record is from RNAcentral. Lineage: Bacteria; Pseudomonadati; Pseudomonadota; Gammaproteobacteria; Oceanospirillales; Halomonadaceae.
CCUACGGGUGGCAGCAGUGGGGAAUAUUGGACAAUCGGCGAAAGCCUGAUCCAGCCAUGCCGCGUGUGUGAAGAAGGCCUUCGGGUUGUAAAGCACUUUCAGUGGGGAAGAAAGCCUUGGGGCUAAUACCCUCGAGGAAGGACAUCACCCACAGAAGAAGCACCGGCUAACUCCGUGCCAGCAGCCGCGGUAAUACGGAGGGUGCGAGCGUUAAUCGGAAUUACUGGGCGUAAAGCGCGCGUAGGCGGUCUGAUAAGCCGGUUGUGAAAGCCCCGGGCUCAACCUGGGAACGGCAUCCGGAACUGUCAGGCUAGAGUGCAGGAGAGGAAGGUAGAAUUCCCGGUGUAGCGGUGAAAUGCGUAGAGAUCGGGAGGAAUACCAGUGGCGAAGGCGGCCUUCUGGACUGACACUGACGCUGAGGUGCGAAAGCGUGGGUAGCAAACAGGAUUAGAUACCCUAGUAGUC